RNAcentral lists this non-coding RNA (27 nucleotides) under Cricetulus griseus (Chinese hamster). Lineage: Eukaryota; Metazoa; Chordata; Mammalia; Rodentia; Cricetidae. The record is from RNAcentral.
AUAGAGUUGGGCCCGUCAGUAAGGUGU